AGCGUAGACGGUGUGGCAAGUCUGAUGUGAAAGGCAUGGGCUCAACCUGUGGACUGCAUUGGAAACUGUCAUACUUGAGUGCCGGAGGGGUAAGCGGAAUUCCUAGUGUAGCGGUGAAAUGCGUAGAUAUUAGGAGGAACACCAGUGGCGAAGGCGGCUUACUGGACGGUAACUGACGUUGAGGCUCGAAAGCGUGGGAGCAAACCA
Molecule: ribosomal RNA, 207 nt
Filed under: uncultured bacterium
Lineage: Bacteria
Description: partial 16S ribosomal RNA
Rfam family: Bacterial small subunit ribosomal RNA
Source: RNAcentral